Molecule: long non-coding RNA, 915 nt
Filed under: Androctonus crassicauda
Lineage: Eukaryota; Metazoa; Arthropoda; Arachnida; Scorpiones; Buthidae
Source: RNAcentral
AGUAAUAUUACUUUUGGCAAAUGAAAAGACUUUUGGUCUGAUAAAAAGUGGUCAUAUUGUAGAUGAUUUAUUAUUGUUAGUGCUGGAUCUGCUGAUGGAUUUAUUGAAAAUUCUACUUUAAUAUUAAAAACCUGUAGUACUAGUGGUGAUUACCAUCAACAAAUGAAUGUGACAAAUUUAUGAAAAAUGAUUACAUGAUCAUCUAACACCAAACAUCCCAACACAAUCAGUUGUAAUGUGAGGAACUAAAGGAAAGGUUUACCUGUGGUGUGGGGAGUGGCUGGAUCACCAUGUUGGCUGUGAGUGAGAACAGGAUUGUUGAUACUGUUUUAGUUUUAUUAAUUGAUUUGUGUUUAGAAAUAAAUAAUAACAAUAGUAGAUGUUUGUUUUAAAAUAAGAAUUAAUUAAUUAUUAAUGUAAAAUUUUAUAGUUUGUAUUAAUAAGUUUAUGUAAAUUAUGGUUGGUAUAAAAGUUUGGCCGUUGGAUGGCGACAACACAUUUCUUUUGUAGUAAGUGAUGGUUCCGAGCAGUGGAUGGCAGGACUUUCUUUGAAUUGCAUUCUGUAAACAUUUUUGGUUUUUUUAUGUUGUAGUUUACUCAGUAUAAAUAAAAGGCAUUUUGAUUAUGGAGCAGUGUGGUCAAGUUCUGGAUUUUUUUUAUGAAAUGGUUAAAGGAAACGGAGUUUACUAUUGAAAUAAAAGUAAAUAUUCGAAGAAAGGAGAAUGGUGACAAGGAAAGAAUGCGGGGUCGGACUUUCGACGAUUGUGCAGGUAGAUUCCCAUACAUGUCAGUAAUAUUAAACAAUGCUCCCUAUCACAACAUUCAGAUAAAUAAAUCACCUACAGCAUUGUCAAUAGAUUGGCUUAUCAAGAAUGGAAUUACAUUUAAUGAAAGUAUAAAGAAAUGUCAACUUGU